GACGAACGCUGGCGGCGUGCUUAACACAUGCAAGUCGAACGGUGAAGGGACCGGUUUUUGCUGGUUCUGGAUGAGUGGCGAACGGGUGAGUAACACGUGAGUAACCUGCCCCCUUCUUCUGGAUAACCGCAUGAAAGGGUGGCUAAUACGGGAUAUUCUGCGCCUGCUGCAUGGUGGGGGUGGGAAAGAUAUUGUUUCGGUGGGGGAUGGGCUCGCGGCCUAUCAGCUUGUUGGUGGGGUGAUGGCCUAACAAGGCGGUGACGGGUAGCCGGCCUGGGGGGGUCGGCCGUAACAGAGGGAAGGCAAGACCGACAAGACUACGGCAGGAGGCAGCAGUGAGGAUUAUGGAACAGUGGGAGGAAGCAUGGUGCAGCGACGCGGCGUGAGGGAUGGUGGCCUGAGGGUUGUAAACCGCUUUCGGCAAUGAAGCAGGGCUGAACCUUCUGUGGGUGGGUUGACGGUAGCUGGACAAGAAGCGCCGGCUAACUACGUG
Molecule: ribosomal RNA, 493 nt
Filed under: uncultured bacterium
Lineage: Bacteria
Description: partial 16S ribosomal RNA
Rfam family: Bacterial small subunit ribosomal RNA
Source: RNAcentral